RNAcentral lists this RNase P RNA (383 nucleotides) under Candidatus Omnitrophota bacterium. Its description in RNAcentral is "Candidatus Omnitrophica bacterium RNase P RNA component class A". It matches the Rfam family "Bacterial RNase P class A". Rfam says of the family: Ribonuclease P (RNase P) is a ubiquitous endoribonuclease, found in archaea, bacteria and eukarya as well as chloroplasts and mitochondria. Its best characterised activity is the generation of mature 5'-ends of tRNAs by cleaving the 5'-leader elements of precursor-tRNAs. Lineage: Bacteria; Pseudomonadati; Candidatus Omnitrophota. The record is from RNAcentral.
AGGGUAGAGCGGAUGGCCGCUGGCUCCCGCUGGGGGCGAGAGGAAAGUCCGAGCUCCAAAGGGUGAGCGUAGUGGGUAACGCCCAUCGUCCCCGCUGUUUCGUUUUGCUUCGCAAAGCGAAACAAAACGGUGGGGAUAGGAUUAGAGCCACAGAGACAACAACUCAUCCAAAAAAGGGGCCAGGCCCCUUUUUUGGGCAGAGGGUGAAAAGAGGUAAUCUCUACGCGGAGAAAGGUCGAAUAGGAAGGGAUGCUUAUAUGGCAACGAGCCUCACCCGGCUCGUCAUUACUUUCGGGUUGACCGCUAAUUGACUUUGCCGGUAACGGCAAAGCUAGAUGGAUGGCCGUCGAACACAGAACUCGGCUUAUAGCUCUACUCUCUUA